Molecule: ribosomal RNA, 897 nt
Filed under: Niesslia dimorphospora
Lineage: Eukaryota; Fungi; Ascomycota; Sordariomycetes; Hypocreales; Niessliaceae
Description: LSU rRNA
Rfam family: Eukaryotic large subunit ribosomal RNA
Source: RNAcentral
GCAUAUCAAUAAGCGGAGGAAAAGAAACCCAACAGGGGAUUGCCUCAGUAACGGCGAAGUGAAGCGGCAACAGCUCAAAUUUGAAAUCUGGCCUUAUGGUCCGAGUUGUAAUUUGUAGAGGAUGCUUUUGGCAAGGUGCCUUCCGAGUUCCCUGGAACGGGACGCCAUAGAGGGUGAGAGCCCCGUCUGGUUGGAUGCCGAGCCUCUGUAAAGCUCCUUCGACGAGUCGAGUAGUUUGGGAAUGCUGCUCAAAAUGGGAGGUAUAUGUCUUCUAAAGCUAAAUAUUGGCCAGAGACCGAUAGCGCACAAGUAGAGUGAUCGAAAGAUGAAAAGCACUUUGAAAAGAGGGUUAAAUAGUACGUGAAAUUGUUGAAAGGGAAGCGCUUGUGACCAGACUUGGGCUCGGUGAAUCAUCCAGUGUUCUCACUGGUGCACUUUGCCUGUCCAGGCCAGCAUCAGUUCGUCGCGGGGGAUAAAAGCUUCGGGAAUGUGGCUCCCUCGGGAGUGUUAUAGCCCGUUGCAUAAUACCCUGUGGUGGACUGAGGUUCGCGCUCCGCAAGGAUGCUGGCGUAAUGGUCAUCAGCGACCCGUCUUGAAACACGGACCAAGGAGUCGUCUUCGUAUGCGAGUGUUCGGGUGUCAAACCCCUACGCGUAAUGAAAGUGAACGCAGGUGAGAGCUUCGGCGCAUCAUCGACCGAUCCUGAUGUUCUCGGAUGGAUUUGAGUAAGAGCAUACGGGGCCGGACCCGAAAGAAGGUGAACUAUGCCUGUAUAGGGUGAAGCCAGAGGAAACUCUGGUGGAGGCUCGCAGCGGUUCUGACGUGCAAAUCGAUCGUCAAAUAUGGGCAUGGGGGGCGAAAGACUAAUCGAACCUUCUAGUAGCUGGGUUUCCGCGA